RNAcentral lists this ribosomal RNA (549 nucleotides) under uncultured bacterium. Its description in RNAcentral is "bacterial SSU rRNA". It matches the Rfam family "Bacterial small subunit ribosomal RNA", at positions 28 to 572 of the family's 1533-position model. The record is from RNAcentral.
AUUGAACGCUGGCGGCAUGCCUUACACAUGCAAGUCGAACGGCAGCGCGGGCUUCGGCCUGGCGGCGAGUGGCGAACGGGUGAGUAAUGCAUCGGAACGUGCCCAAGAGUGGGGGAUAACUAGUCGAAAGAUUAGCUAAUACCGCAUACGAUCUAAGGAUGAAAGUGGGGGACCGCAAGGCCUCAUGCUCCUGGAGCGGCCGAUGUCUGAUUAGCUAGUUGGUGGGGUAAAAGCCUACCAAGGCGACGAUCAGUAGCUGGUCUGAGAGGACGACCAGCCACACUGGGACUGAGACACGGCCCAGACUCCUACGGGAGGCAGCAGUGGGGAAUUUUGGACAAUGGGGGAAACCCUGAUCCAGCAAUGCCGCGUGUGUGAAGAAGGCCUUCGGGUUGUAAAGCACUUUUGUCAGGAACGAAACGGUGAGGGCUAAUAUCCCUUGCUAAUGACGGUACCUGAAGAAUAAGCACCGGCUAACUACGUGCCAGCAGCCGCGGUAAUACGUAGGGUGCAAGCGUUAAUCGGAAUUACUGGGCGUAAAGCGUGCGC